UACGGGGGAUGCAAGCGUUAUCCGGAUUUAUUGGGUUUAAAGGGUGCGUAGGCUGCGAGGUAAGUCAGCGGUGAAAUGCCCCCGCUCAACGGGGUGAAGUGCCAUUGAUACUGCCUUGCUGGAAUGCGGAUGCCGUGGGAGGAAUGUGUGGUGUAGCGGUGAAAUGCAUAGAUAUCACACAGAACACCGAUUGCGAAGGCAUCUCACGAAUCCGCGAUUGACGCUGAUGCACGAAAGCGUGGGUAUCAAACAGG
Molecule: ribosomal RNA, 254 nt
Filed under: uncultured bacterium
Lineage: Bacteria
Description: partial 16S ribosomal RNA
Rfam family: Bacterial small subunit ribosomal RNA
Source: RNAcentral